This 329-nucleotide unclassified non-coding RNA is filed under the name soil metagenome. RNAcentral's name for it is "partial contains 5.8S ribosomal RNA, internal transcribed spacer 2, and large subunit ribosomal RNA". The stretch from base 1 to 120 matches the Rfam family "5.8S ribosomal RNA", at positions 35 to 154 of the family's 154-position model. The record is from RNAcentral.
GAUGAAGAACGUAGUGAAAUGCGAUAAGUAAUGUGAAUUGCAGAAUUCAGUGAAUCAUCGAAUCUUUGAACGCACAUUGCGCCCCUUGGUAUUCCGAGGGGCAUGCCUGUUCGAGCGUCAUUAUAACCCCUCAAGCUCAGCUUGGUGUUGGGGCCUGCUGCACUGGCAGCCCUUAAAAUCAGUGGCGGCGCCAUCUGGCUCUAAGCGUAGUAAUUCUUCUCGCUAUGGAGUCCUGGUGGAUGCUUGCCAUCAACCCCCAAUUUUUCUAUGGUUGACCUCGGAUCAGGUAGGGAUACUCGCUGAACUUAAGCAUAUCAAUAAGCGGAGGA